UUGCAUGUUAAAAAAAGGGAAAAUAAAUAUGCCAUGCUCAACAAAAUGGACGAAUUUAACCAGAGCGAACAAAGUUAUCUUUGUUUUGACCAUGGUUGCACUUUUUGUGCUUGUCCUUGGAUUUUCAACGCCACUUUGGAUUUUGAUAUCAGUGGAAACUGACUUUAACAUUGAAAUUUUUGAAAUGGUCGAGAAGGAGUAUAUUGGUCUUUGGCAGUGGUGCUUUAAACAUUAUGGAUGUUAUGAUCUAUCAUUGUUUGCUAAAUAUUUUUCAUAUACCAAGUCUAUCAGCAAAACAAAUAGAAAUGAAAUACUAGAUAAGAUAAUAAACAAGACCAACAGAAUUAUAAAUUUGUGGACAGUUUCAAGAUCCUUUGCAACUGUGGCCGUCGUUUGUGCACUGUCGUUUUCUAUUUGGAAACUGCAUUUCAUCUGGAUAAGGAAGAUUAACCAUGUCCGUAUCUACCAUGUUGUGUCAAUUGUGGAGAAUUUCAUCAUUGGUUCUGCUUUAUUGGUAUGCUUGGUAACGUUUGGCGUUGCAAUACAAACCUUCGAUGAGCUGAAAAUGGAUAUGAUAUUGGAAUUGAACAUUUUAAAAGUACUAGACAUCAACAUCAACAGAUAUUUUUUCAUUUCUUUCUGGAUGGUUUGUGCUGCAACAAUACUGUACUUUUCUAAUGGGAUACUAGCCAUUGGCAUUUUAUGCGGAGGCUGUGUAAUCAACACAAACGAUACAUCUGGAAGACGCUCAGAAGCAACAACCAGAAGUGGAAACGAGAAAUACUUAGAAAUGAAAUAUGUGUAUAAUUCAUAAAUUAUUGCACUGCUAAUAGAUUAACAGUUCGGUUUUUAGAUUAUAAUUGAUAACAGUCUUUGUUCGGUUUUUAGAUUAUAAUUGAUAACAGUCUUUGUUCGUUUUUUAGAUUAUAAUUGAUAACAGUCUUUGUUCGGUUUUUAGAUUAUAAUUGAUAACAGUCUUUGUUCGGUUUUUAGAUUAUAAUUGAUAACAGUCUU
Molecule: long non-coding RNA, 1014 nt
Organism: Mytilus californianus (California mussel)
Lineage: Eukaryota; Metazoa; Mollusca; Bivalvia; Mytilida; Mytilidae
Exons: 3
Source: RefSeq, a predicted model, not a curated record